UUGCCUGAAAAGUUUUGCAUGGAAUAAUGGAAUAGGACUUCGGUUCUAUUUCGUUGGUUUUCGGAUCCGAAGUAAUGAUCAAAAGGGACAGGCGGGGACGUUUGUAUGGCUGCGCUAGAGGUGAAAUUCGUGGACCGUAGCCAGACAAACUAAAGCGAAAGCAUUCGUCAAGCAUGUUUUCAUUGACCAUGAGCGAAAGUCAGAGGCUCGAAGACGAUCAGAUACCGUCCUAGUUCUGACCAUAAACGAUGCCAACUGACGAUCCGUGGUGGUAGUUAUCGAACCUUCCCCACGGGCAGUCCCCGGGAAACCUUUAAGUCUUUGGGUUCCGGGGGAAGUAUGGUUGCAAAGCUGAAACUUAAAGGAAUUGACGGAAGGGCACCACCAGGAGUGGAGCCUGCGGCUUAAUUUGACUCAACACGGGAAAACUCACCCGGGCCGGACACUAUGAGGAUUGACAGAUUGAUAGC
Molecule: ribosomal RNA, 470 nt
Filed under: Raillietina sonini
Lineage: Eukaryota; Metazoa; Platyhelminthes; Cestoda; Cyclophyllidea; Davaineidae
Description: SSU rRNA
Rfam family: Eukaryotic small subunit ribosomal RNA
Source: RNAcentral